GACGAACGCUGGCGGCGUGCUUAACACAUGCAAGUCGAACGGAAAGGCCCUGCUUUUGUGGGGUGCUCGAGUGGCGAACGGGUGAGUAACACGUGGGUAACCUGCCAUUGACUUUGGGAUAACUUCAGGAAACUGGGGCUAAUACCGGAUAGGAGCUCCUGCUGCAUGGUGGGGGUUGGAAAGUUUCGGCGGUUGGGGAUGGACUCGCGGCUUAUCAGCUUGUUGGUGGGGUAGUGGCUUACCAAGGCUUUGACGGGUAGCCGGCCUGCGAGGGUGACCGGCCACAUUGGGACUGGGAUACGGCCCAGACUCCUACGGGAGGCAGCAGUGGGGAAUAUUGCACAGUGGGCGGAAGCCUGAUGCAGCAACGCCGCGUGCGGGAUGACGGCCUUCGGGUUGUAAACCGCUUUCGCCUGUGACGAAGCGUGAGUGACGGUAAUGGGUAAAGAAGCACCGGCUAACUACGUG
This 468-nucleotide ribosomal RNA is filed under the name uncultured bacterium. Its description in RNAcentral is "partial 16S ribosomal RNA". It matches the Rfam family "Bacterial small subunit ribosomal RNA", at positions 28 to 507 of the family's 1533-position model. The record is from RNAcentral.